RNAcentral lists this ribosomal RNA (253 nucleotides) under uncultured bacterium. Its description in RNAcentral is "partial 16S ribosomal RNA". It matches the Rfam family "Bacterial small subunit ribosomal RNA", at positions 524 to 776 of the family's 1533-position model. The record is from RNAcentral.
UACGUAGGGGGCGAGCGUUGUCCGGAGUUACUGGGCGUAAAGGGCACGCAGGCGGUGCGGCGCGUUUCGCGUGACAGCGGAGGGCUUAACUCUCCGAGGAUGCGAAAGACGGCGGCACUUGAGGGCCAGAGAGGGACACGGAAUUCCGGGUGGAGUGGUGAAAUGCGUAGAGAUCCGGAGGAACACCGAAGGCGAAGGCAGUGUCCUGGCUGGUGACUGACGCUGAGGUGCGAAAGCCAGGGGAGCAAACGGG